GCGAGAGUAGCCAAGCCAGGCCAACGGCGCCAGACUUAAGAUCUGGUCUAUAAGUAGUUCAUGGGUUCGAAUCCCACCUCUCGCA
This 85-nucleotide transfer RNA is filed under the name Methanocorpusculum sp. RNAcentral's name for it is "tRNA-Leu". It matches the Rfam family "tRNA". From Rfam's summary of the family: Transfer RNA (tRNA) molecules are approximately 80 nucleotides in length. Their secondary structure includes four short double-helical elements and three loops (D, anti-codon, and T loops). Further hydrogen bonds mediate the characteristic L-shaped molecular structure. tRNAs have two regions of fundamental functional importance: the anti-codon, which is responsible for specific mRNA codon recognition, and the 3' end, to which the tRNAs corresponding amino acid is attached (by aminoacyl-tRNA synthetases). tRNAs cope with the degeneracy of the genetic code in two manners: having more than one tRNA (with a specific anti-codon) for a particular amino acid; and 'wobble' base-pairing, i.e. permitting non-standard base-pairing at the 3rd anti-codon position. RNAcentral also lists the same sequence under 4 other names. The record is from RNAcentral. Lineage: Archaea; Methanobacteriati; Methanobacteriota; Methanomicrobia; Methanomicrobiales; Methanocorpusculaceae.